AUUGAACGCUGGCGGCAGGCCUAACACAUGCAAGUCGAGCGGCAGCGGGAAAGUAGCUUGCUACUUUUGCCGGCGAGCGGCGGACGGGUGAGUAAUGCCUGGGGAUCUGCCCAGUCGAGGGGGAUAACUACUGGAAACGGAAGCUAAUACCGCAUACGCCCUACGGGGGAAAGCAGGGGACCUUCGGGCCUUGCGCGAUUGGAUGAACCCAGGUGGGAUUAGCUAGUUGGUGAGGUAAUGGCUCACCAAGGCGACGAUCCCUAGCUGGUCUGGGAGGAUGAUCAGCCACACUGGAACUGAGACACGGUCCAGACUCCUACGGGAGGCAGCAGUGGGGAAUAUUGCACAAUGGGGGAAUCCCUGGUGCAGCCAUGCCGCGUGUGUGAAGAAGGCCUUCGGGUUGUAAAGCACUUUCAGCGAGGAGGAAAGGUUGGUAGCUAAUAACUGCCAGCUGUGACGUUACUCGCAGAAGAAGCACCGGCUAACUCCGUGCCAGCAGCCGCCGUAA
This 508-nucleotide ribosomal RNA is filed under the name uncultured bacterium. RNAcentral's name for it is "partial 16S ribosomal RNA". It matches the Rfam family "Bacterial small subunit ribosomal RNA", at positions 29 to 523 of the family's 1533-position model. The record is from RNAcentral.